Molecule: long non-coding RNA, 242 nt
Organism: Eriocheir sinensis (Chinese mitten crab)
Lineage: Eukaryota; Metazoa; Arthropoda; Malacostraca; Decapoda; Varunidae
Exons: 3
Source: RefSeq, a predicted model, not a curated record
GUUAGGUUAAGUUAGAUUAGGUUAGUUUUAUUUAUGGUCAAUAGGGGAUUUUUGAGUGUGAACAGGGCAGGAUAGGUUAGGUUAAGUUAGAUUAGGUUAGGUGUAUUUAUGGUCAAUAGGGGAUUUUUGAGUGUGAACAGGGCAGGUUAGGUUAGGUUGAGUUAGAUUAGGUUAGGUGUAUUUAUGGUCAAUAGGGGAUUUUUGAGUGUGAACAGGGCAGGAUAGGUUAGGUUGAGUUAGAU